Molecule: long non-coding RNA, 42665 nt
Filed under: Olea europaea (common olive)
Lineage: Eukaryota; Viridiplantae; Streptophyta; Magnoliopsida; Lamiales; Oleaceae
Description: long non-coding RNA (OEUR_LNC002088)
Source: RNAcentral
GAAAUGCCAAAUAUACUCUUCAAUACAUGCAAAGAAAUCAAAAUUCUCUUUCGGGGGCGUUGCCCCAACCCCCCAUGAGGGGCGCUGCCCCCUCGACCCCCGCGACCUGACCGGGCAGGUCGAUCCCCGUUUGUGCGCCCCGAAGCGGCGAAGUGGCAAACAAUUUUGCUUAAACGGAUUGAGUCAAGCUUUUGAGUAUUUGGCCGAAGUCGAUGCGAACUUUAAUCGAUUUUUCAAUUCUUAAUUUAUUUAACCAAUAUCCAACAAUCCCCCACAUGAAUGGAAAUUCCUCGAUAUGCGCAACACAAAGCGAAUGCAAUGAAAAUGAAAUGCAGACUCUAACAAACGGAGUACACACGACAAGUCGUAGCAUCAAGAUAGGUAGCUUGUGGCCUUGAACCUUCUUUAGUUGAAUACAAUCGGAUUUACUAGGCUAGUUGGUGAACGCGAUGUCUUGAACCAUCCAGCCGUUCGUGUAAAACCAAACAACUGUACCAACACCAUGACUCAUCUAACCUAUUCGGUUCUCAUGGUUGAGUCCAUUUUGGCCCUGGACAACUCUUGGUUUCAUAAGUGCUCUAAGAGAAUUAAGCCUCGAAUUCUCGUAGAAACGGCCCCAUUUCACACUUAUAUAGGUGAUCUCAUACCUUUCUAUCUCAAGGUUAUGAAUCAUUAAAAGUAUAUAUAUGUAUACUUAUCCUUAUACACAUUUUACAUAGCACUUUAAAUUUUAGGAAUGGGAAUAAGUGCUUUAUUCCGGGGGGUGUAAUUAAUAAACCCCCAAUCAGAUACUAAUUCUGGAAGAAACAAGAGUGGGGAUGGGGGGAGGCAGUAACAAAUUCGGUUAUUUGGGUAGGGUGAGUAAGCAAAAUUCUGUUACAGGGGUCUAUAAAUAGAAAUAUUUUGGAAGGUGAUAUCAUGCUUAAUUUUGAGUGUGGAAAGGAAGAAAUCGUAGAGAGCAACAGCCCUCUUGACAGGCUGUUUAUCCUCAUAUUCACUGCCUUGAAUUUCAAUCAAUUCAAUUCAACAUUUUCGCUCCUUUCUUUUCAUUUCAGAAUUGUUGAUACAUUUAUUAGGCUGGAACCUAUCGGUACAAUAUUAGAUUUGAGUCAGAUUUAUUGAUUGACUGCCAUGUUGUUGCUAGCAAAUACUACAAGUUUUGGUUUUUGAUCUUCCAAAUCAUUCCAUGGGAGACCCGGACUCAAUUUUUCUGAUCCUUCGAGAAAAAAUUUCAUUCUCUACAUAAAGAACAAGAGGUAGAACCAAUAAAGAUUACUUUUUCGAUUCGUCCGUUAACUCAUUAAAGAAUUGUUUUUUAUCCAAACCAUAGGAAUAGAAAGGCAAAUCCCUUAUGGUAUAUGUUUAGUUAUUUUUCUUCUCUAACACGGUCUAACCGAAUAAAGUCCACCUUACCAAACCAAUCAUCAAGAGUGAAAAAGAACUUAAUAAUCUCCAUGCUUACCUGUGAAUUAGAGACGAAAAGAGGAGAAUCGAGCAGAGCUGCAGGGCUAAGACCAGGAGGAAUUGUCAAAUAAGGAGACUGAACUUCUGGAUUCUGAUCAGGCGAUCUGAUGUUUUCUAUAUUCAACCUUGGGGCAUUGAAACCAGCUCUAGCUAUCAUCCUCUCCAUAAGACUUCCUUGAGAGCUCAUAUUUGGCUCAGAUGGUGCAUUUGAUUUGCUCGUCUCAUCACCCUCAACACUAUUUAGCGUCUUAUCCUUUACAUCUAUAUUUCUUGAAGCCACCUGCAUUUCAGGCCCUGUAAAAGGGGUCUGACUUCUAUUAUGACUAUCAGACUCAGCAGUUGAUAUUGCCAAAGGGUCAAAGUUAUACAUUGAUGUGAAAAAAGUUUUUGGACUAGUGAUUGGGGAAGUCCAAUCUCCCAUGAUAGCCACAUAGUCAUCAAACCCACUCAUGAGAAUUCUCAGCCUCUGUAAAUGCUAUCAACUAAAAAUCAGAUCAAAUACGAAAGUAAGAUUUGAAUACAUAAACUGUGAACCUGAAUCAACAGAACCAUAACACUUCAAAUUCAAGUAAAUAUCGACAUAAUGAUAUAAGCAAGAAAAAUCACCAACAAUAAAUGUGGUUCACUUUGGUGUUGGUGGAAGUUUCCUUAAUCUCAUUAAUUUUCACAGAUACGGAAUUAAAACUCAUAGAAUAAAUGCAUCCAACGCCUAUCAAACCCGUUAAUGAUUAGAUUCUUUAUCGCUAUCAGCGUAACCUAAAGGAUAAAACGUAAGAGGUUAUCUUCUCUCUUUCUCCCACCCCCAUUUCCACCUAGUUACUAUCUUUUAGAUUCAACAAGCAAGCCGUUGAGUCGAAUCUUUACUACACAAGUUCACAAGAUUACAUAAAGAUAACUCAAACACAAAGCAAAAAUACAAAGGCAAAUUAUUUUCCCACAAAUUCCCCGCUGUUCAUACUUUCCCUCUCCCGGUCAGAAAAGUUAAAAUUUCAAGAAGAAAAACAGUCAUCAAAGCGGUGAAUGGCCAUGAAUACAUCAUAAACUGUUUACAAACAAUUAAUGAUAUAAAAAUAUUUCCAAAAUCCAUCAAGAAGUAAAACCUAAGUAUUUAAAUUCAAUAAAAUAUCAUCACAUCAACCUGUAGAGCCACAGAAAGCAAUCAGUCACUCAAUCAGAAUUUCCCAUUCUUAAAAAUUUACCCACAUCAAAAACCUUUUUGCAUGGCCGAGCCAAACAAGGUAGACGAUUAUCAUUUAAAGUUGAUAAACAGAUAAGAACAACACCGUUCAUUAAAUUCUGAAACCCAUCAAGAUUGAGAAAACCAAUACUCCAUAUGUACGCACAGAGAUAUAGACAGAUAGACACACACAUGUAGACUGAAUCAUGACUAUAACAAGAGGGGAUGAACUUAAAUUGGGAGGGGGGAAAAACCAUUGAUGAUCUCCAGAAAAUCUAAUUUUCUCACGUAACAUAAUUAGCAAACAAGAAGACAGAAAGAAAAAUAACUACAACCCAAGUUCAAAUUCAAUCAUUGGCAAAUGAACAGCCAAAAAGAUUUAAGGCAGGCGAGUUUAGUACCUGAAGAAAACACAGAGCUAUCAAGAAUGGACCUUUUUCUGACCCUUUCAGACUAAUUUCUUCUUAACAAGAAUUGUCUUUGUCCAAAGAAAAACUCGAAUAGAAAAGACACUCAAUUUCCCUUUUAUAAAUUGGUUUAGCGGUUAUUAAGUAAAUCAGAUUAUGUAAAUAAUGAAAGUAUACAGGACCAGAGGAAAGGCUUUCACACACAGUUUAAUUAUUUUUCUGUAAGUGUAAAAGGCAAUUUUGUCCUGUUGACUUUCGAUGUGGAUAAUAAAUGUUUGACUGAAAAAAGUGAUUAAGAAUUUAAAAUACAGAAACGUUACCGGUUGAUUCUGUGAACAAAAGAGUAAAAUUAGUGCAAUGAAGUAAUUUCUGAUAAAUAACUUGACAUCGGGCAAUGGAAUUGUAACGUAAGAGGUGUGUAGCUUUACGACACGUUGACCUACAAAAUAUAUAAAGUAUACGGAAAAAACAUUAUAGUUUUGACGCUUAUUUUAGAUAUCUCUCUCGAAUAAUGAUAGUGUUUAGUGUGCCACGUAAACCUUCUAGUAGCCGAGAGUUUUUGAGAUAAUCGCCAUGUGUCAUUUUAUGUCAACGUCUCUAUCUCAGAACAAAUCAGUCAUACGGUAGUGACCGCCUAAAAAUGACGGUAUCUCAGUUUGGAUACCUCAAAAAAUUAAAGAAGCCUUGCAUUGUUAUAAUUUGAAUUUGUUAAGUUUAAUAAUUAUGUUAUAAUACUCAUAAAAACUAUAAAUAAAAAAGGUAUAUAAUAUCUUAAAUUCUUUUUAUAACCAAUGAAUAGUUCUAUUUUUAUCGUGUCGACUUGAUAAGUAGUUAUAAUUAUGCUAAAUAAUCAAAUCAUGGAUCUAGUUCAAUUCGUUAAUCUAUUUUUAAGUGGGAAAAAGGGUGGAUACACCUCUCUUCUAAAAUUUGGACAAGUGCCUUUCAUGUGUGUUACUAACGAAAUUUUAGACUACGAUCAUGGAUGAAGGUGGCAAGUAGGCAUGGGCAUUGUUCAUUUUGAUUUUGUUUCCAAGAGAAUUAAAUCGAAUUGAAUGGAAUUGAACCAUAAACCAAUGAUAUUUUUUCAUAAUGAAAACAAUUAUUUUUUUAAGAUAUGGAGUUGAACCAUUCGGUUCUGGUUUGAUUUAAUUAGGUUUAGGUUCCAUUGAUUAAGUUAUCAAAUGAUAAAUGCAAAUUGAAAUCUAUCAUCAUAUCCAUAAGUUAGUAAUCUGUACUUAAAACAUAUCAUACAUUCACCCUUAUAAUUUUUAAAAUUGAAUUUUUUGGUAUGAUUCACUAAAGAAUAAGUCCAUUUCUUAUAACCAAAAUCAUUAUUUCUUUGAUAGAACCAAACCAAACCGCUUGAUUUGAUUUAGUUUUGGUUUAAUCAGAUCAUUUUGUCUACCGCUAGCGGCAAGAAUAAGACCCUGGACCUAUUUGCACUUUUUGUAUAAGUUUGAAACCACAACUGCAUUUUUUCCGAAACAUCAUCCCAUAAUGAUGUUGUAUGGUUAAAUUACUUAUUCUAAUGAUUGAACAUCUUUUUAAUGAGGUCAAGAUUUGUUCAUGUGGCCACCAAUAUUUCAUCCCUGGCAAUGGUUCACAGCUAUACUACCUGCAAAGAAAGGCGAGGCUCACUUCACUUUCUGCCUUCGAAGUGAGAAUUAGAAUUCUGAUGUGAAUAAUUUAUAUACAUCUAUAUAUAACGAACAACGUAUGAAAGUAAUUAAGAACGUGUAAUUGAAAUUAAUCUUUAUAAUGACAAUAGUACAUAGACAUCUAUGAAGGAUACGUAACAAAAUAUAUAAAGAAGAUAGAGGGACAUGUGUUGCAGGAUCUUGAACAUUUAGGGGACAAGUAGCCAAAUGUAAUGUGGGGUUCAUUUUGGAUAGGAGUGGGCGCAGUCCGGUUUGGUCCGGUUCCCGAACCGAAUACCAAUGAGAAUUUUAGAAAUAGAACCGUUGGUUCCAUAGUUAACUGUGGAACUGAACCGGAACCGACCCAAUCGGUUCUGAUUCGGUCUGGUCCGGUUCUUUAUAUUGAAAAUGUCAAAGUAAAAUUUUCACUAAUAAAAACUUUAAAAAUGGUACUAACGUGAUACUUUUAACAAAAUAUAAAAGAACCGAACAUAUUAUUUAAAAAUUUAUUUAGGUAUAGAUUUACAAAGUAAAAACAAAAUAAAAAUCAUGUAAUCAAAGUGAAAACAAAAUAAAAAUUUCGCAUCUUAUAAAUUAAAUUAUAUACUCUAAAUAAAUGUAUUUAGGUAUAGAUUUAUCCAAUAUUCUAAUUUGGCUUGAAAAUCAAUUAAUCAAAAAAUUAUAAGAAGAGAUAAAGAAAGAAUCAAAGAGAAGAAGGAAAGUACUAGAGUCUACAAUUAAGAAGGAACUCGAUUAUUUUUGAAAAAAGUGUUGGAGAUUGAGUCAUAUAUUUUACCCAAAAAAAAAAUCCAAUGAGAACCGUCUGAUUCCCACGGUUUCCAUACUAGAACCGAGAACUGGACCGGUUCCGAUCGGUUCUUAAAAAUUUGUCUUAAAAUCAAAUUAUUUUUUAGAAGAACCGACCGGUUCUAAACGAUUCCGGUUCGGUUGGUGGCCCGAUGGGAGAGUUUGGGUUUUCUUACAAAUAAACGAUGGAUUAAUUAAUCUAAUGAUCUUGCAAAUGCAAACAACUUGAUAAUUAUGGUCGACAAGCAACCGGGUGGGCUGUCUGCUGGCAAAAAGAGAAGUUAGGAGGGGGGUAACCGGAGAGAGGGAAAAGGUCAUCGAGCUCGACCAACCAUGGACUAGGUUAGUUGGUAUGGUGUGUAGAUUUUUUAGCGGCAAGACAAGCAAAAUUCGUGUUGAUGUUAAUUCGAAUGUAUGGAUGUUUAAGCUAGUAUUCAGAAAAAAGUAAAUCGUGGAGCGUGUUACAUUAAUCCUUGUAGGUUCUAAAGUGUUAAGAAUUUCAGAGUUUUUCUUGUUGCUUAACUUAAACUUACUUAAGAAAGGAAGAUUAAAAGAAAGAAAAAGACUCAAAUUUUAACUUUGAUAUCUUUUAUUUGAUUUUCCACUUACGGGAGAGAUAAAUUCACGAUUUUCUAAGAAUAUCUAUUAACAAAUAAGUCAACUAAUAAUUUUUAGAAUUAUGCUAAAGGUACACAACCGUGUACCUAAGGGUGUACCUAAUGUACACCCGGCACCUUGGUAUUGGCCGAGGCGCCUGUGGGCCCCGACAUGGCAGGCGCCUCGACCAAUGCCGAGGCGCCGAGUGUCCAUUGGGUACACUCUUACGUACCACUAGCAAGAUUGUAAUUUUUAUUACUAUCUGAUUAGCUUCAGACAAUUGAACAUUUUUUUUUAAUUAUUUUCUGUCACUUGAUCUAAUUGCAUUCCAUUAAGUAUGAACAAAUUGAUCUUGAAUCUGAAAAAUUCAAUUACUAAUUCGAGAUUAAAUUAUGAAAUAUUAAUUCUUUGUUUGUAAAAUGGUCCCAAUAAUUUAAAGAAAAUUUUACUACUAAGUUUGUUAAUUUGAUAAGCGAAGUAAAAUAGAAACAAGUUAAAUAAAAAAUAAAAAAAUAUGCAAUUUAUAAUGAUUCACUAUUGAUGCGCAGGGGCGGAGCCAGAGAUUUUGUUCAGCGCAGGCAUAGCUACAGUAAUUUUUUUUUUGUCAAAAUUAGUUUAUGAAAGGGUUCGACAAUUUCUUAAUAUUUAUCACAAAUCAAAAUUUUUUCAAUAUAUAUCCUUUUCAUCUCUCACAAAUAAAUCACAAUCCACAACCACGUAUUAUCACAUAUUCUCAAAUUCACAAAAUUCCCAAUUUGCAUAAAUCAUAAACCUCAACAAUCACAAUCAUAAACUCAUAAAACAUAAAUAAUAACUCAUAAAUGAUAAAUCAAUGAACUAAAGUCUAAAAAAUAAAAACCAAAAAAUAAGCAAGAAAAAGGACGAGAGGCAGAGAAUGGAGUCACUGGACUCACAGGAGGCUCACAAGUCAUGGAGAGGCGACAUGAUGGUCUUGGUCGUGGGCAACCGGCACGACAGCUGGUCAACGAGCGGCGCAGCAGAAGGUGUUUGCCGGCUUCCAACUUCCAGCUUUCUUCCUUUGUUAUUUGAAAUGCCAAUUGUAAAAGAAUACAAUAUGUACUAUUAAACCAAGAUCUGGGCCAACUAAUUUUUCUAAAACAAGAGGUCCAACACUGCAAAAGAAAUGGCCCAUAAUUAAGAAAAUGCCCAAUCCACUCUCCUUCAUCUUCCAAACUCAACACUUUUCAACUGCCGUCAAGUUUCUUAUCAAUGGCCGCUGCCUGCUACUGUAAAUUCUUUCGUCUUGGUCCUAUCACCAGUGCAGGCAUAAUGGAAUUUUCUGUGUCAACCCCAAAGUCCAGCGCGGGCAGGCGCCUGCGCUGGACUCUAUGUGGCUCCGCCCCCUGUUGAUGCGAGAACUACCUCCAUUUACUACUAUUGAAUUUAAUUGUCGAUGAAAUAUAUUAGAAUGUUGUAUCUGAACUCGCAGCUUUAAGUUAUUUUCUUUAUAGAACAGGGAAUAUAAAUCGAAAUGUGCAUGUUUCAUGCGCAUUGGGACAAAUAAGACGAGGGCAAACUUGAAAUGGACCAAUGUCGGAUAAUACAUAGGUUUUUAGACAAAUACCAUAUUAAAUGAAAAGUAUUUUGAAAGUAGAGCAUAUGUCGUAAGGUUGAAUUUUUCAAUUAAAGUCUCAUGAUGUGCAGUUUUUUCGUGAUAGUUAUUUUAUUAUUACUCACAAAAUAAUUGUUUAAAAUAUUUAAAAAUGAGCCAAAAAUAUUUUAUCACGGCGCUAUGAACGUAGGAUGAUUGUAAUACAAAUCAGACGGCGAAGGAAGUGGCGACGAUGGCCAUUUCUUUGAUUUUUGGAAUAGAGAGUGAUUUGUGGUGGUGGCUUUAUUGUAGAAGGGAAAGGGAAGGAUAUGGAAGUGAGUAUUGUAAUAGAGGUAGUAAUGAGAGAGAAGUGAGAAGUCGAGACAAUAGCGGUUAUCAGAUAUUGUCACCUCAUCCACAUACUGUUGUCACCGCUCAACCGAAUAGUGCCCAUACAACGUAGAGAAGAAAGAAAAGGGCAAAUGUCUUAAACCUGAUUUUGAUGGGUUUUUCUUUUGGGUCGGGUUGGAUCCUCUUGGGCUAUAUAAGGUGGGCUGGGAAAAUUGGUGAACUAAAUUAAUUGGAUCUGGUUGUAUCUACUUGAUGGGUUGUGAAAGAAAAUUUCUCUAGGAGAUUUUACAACAUGCAACUAACGUUGCAAGUGAAUAUUUUUGCAACACUAAAUGAAUGUUGCAAAAAAAUGUUGGAAUAAUUAAUAAUUCCAUAUGUGGGCUUCACAUUCGAUUGCAAAUUUUACGGGUUAGAUGUAUGACUCAUAAUGAUAUUUGUAUUUGGACCAAAUUUAUUAAGUGAUCAAUUGGGACUUUUACACAUUUCGAGUUGUAAUUAAUUCGAUGUGGUAAUUAAAGUAUGUGAAUCGGAAAUAAACUCUAAUUAGAAUUCUAGUCAUAAUGGGACGGUUCAAUUAUUUUCUAUAUAAAUGCUAGGUCCCCUCUACUCUCCAUAUGUUUUAUUGGCUUGCCCCAUUAAUAGCUAAUACUUUUGUGAGGAGCAAAGAGGGGAAGAUCUUGAUUACUAUUAUAACUAUUAUUCAUAUUAACAAUGGUUUCCGUAGGUAUGAAUUCGUUUUUUAUUAAUUUAUUAUAUGGUGAUUCUAUAUUCUUAGCAUGAUUACAAUUAAAAUUUAACAAUUGGUAUCAGAGCCUUCGUGCUGAGAUUAGAAUCCCUAAUAAAACAAUAUGUUUUCUCGUUUUCUGCCUGAAUAAUCAAAAAGUUGACUUUUUAUAUUUGUUAUUUUUCUAACAAUUUGAGAUUUUAUACACACACACACACAAACACACACAUACACACAUAUACAGAUAUGCACAUAAGAAAACGUGGUUUUCAAUUAUGGAGUCUGUUACCUGCUUGAUAAAUAUGUAGGAUUGAUUUUCUUGAGGAAAUCAUCUCAGAUGCGAGAAAUAUAUAUAAUGUGUGAAUCUGCUUAAUUAAUUUAUAGUAUGACCGUGCAAAAUAAAAAGGGGGGGGGGGUGGAAUUUUUACAUAAGUUGAUUGGUGGCAGCAUGUUGCUACCACAUGGUUUAAGCGCCGACAGGCACCGUCGGCUUGAGCGGCGCCAGUGCAAGAAAAAAAAGAAAUUUCAGUUUAUGUGGGAAAAUCGGCCAAAGGUAGGCGGGGGUUUUUGUCGUAAAUAACCAAUCUUCAAACCCCUGUUUGCAAUUAUCAAUUGGGGGUCAUAUUGUAAUUACUUAAAUAAGGACCUUCCAUGCAAUUUUAAAUAUGAAGGACGUGAUUUUAAUUUGUGUUUAGUAUUAAAAUGUAAUUUUCAAUAAGGGGCUCUUAAAUUUGAACUUCUAAACUUUUGACCCUAAAAUUUUAUUUUUGAUCAAAUUAAAACUUUAAUUGAUAAUUGACCCGAUUAAAAUAUAUUAAAAAAUAAUAAUAAUAAUUUGAUGGACGACUUUUAUAUUUUUCAUUAAAUUGUAUAUGUAUUUAAAUAUUGCCAUUAUUUAUGCAUUUAAAUUUCAUUUUUUGAAAUUUUGUUGUCAAUUUCGUCUCUCAAUCACAUAUGAAUUUUUGUCUUUCAUCAAUUAAUAAUUAUGAUUUGUUGCGUAAUUAUUGUUAUGUGAUUGAAUUUUUAUGGAAUUUGAGACGAUCCUUAUUUUUCCCACAAAGAGAAAUAUUUUGAAAGUCAAAAUCGAAAAUCGAGGUUAACUGAAUCGAAUGGAGCGAAAAAAAUCGAACCGAUGGUGCAAUGGGGUGGAUAUGAUUUUUAUUUUAAUGAACCGGUUCGUGGCAGUGCGGGUGUGGUAUUUACGUCAUCGAACCGAAACCGAACCGAUUACUUGCUAAAAAAAAAUAAUAAAAAUAAUUGAAUUGAUUAUUGGGCUUUACACUACUUUUCUAUCUAGCCCAAAACAAAAUCCCCCCCAUUACAUCUACCUGACUCAGCCGGUCAACCCACUUAUCAUUAGGCCAUAAUAAUAGUAUUAGUAUGACAGUAUAUAAAUGCAAACCAUACUCUCUACAAACCACAAACUCACACACGACUCCUUUUAUUGUUAAUUUUUUUCUAUUAUAUGUAGAAAAUUCUAUUUCUUCAUCAUACUUUAAAGCUUGUGCAACGUUUAGCGAGAAAGAAGCUGACGAAGAGGUACAUUUUUUUAUUUAAAUCUUAGUUAACACCAUUCUGAAAGAAGUAGUAUCGUUGUAUUCUCUACUUAUAUUUCUUAUUUACUAUAUAUGAAUCAACUUUGAGUGUUGAUCUAUGCUAGUAAGACUUGUGUGGAAGAAUGAAUCAAGUAAGUUCGAUGCACAACAAUUAAGAAUGAAUGAAAAGUUUAGUAUUGUUAUAUUUAUAAUAUUGUUUAUUAAAUUUGUAUUUUACAAUUGAAAAUUGGGAUAAUGUUUGCAUUUUCGUUUGGAAUAUUGUGAUUUUGUUUUCAUUGACUUUUUUCAUAAAUUGUUUUAUAUCAAUUUGACGGAUGAACUUAUAAAAAAUAAUUUAUUUUCGUGGUUAUUAACCGAACCGAACCGAACCGAGAUACGAACUGAACCGAUUUACGUGGUUAUGGUGCGGUUAUGGUAUGGUAAGAAAAUUAGUGGUGUGGUUAUGGUUUUGGCCGAACCGACCCAUAACUAAACCGUUGCCAACCCUAAUCUUGGCCAAAGGUGUUGUUAUAUGUGAUAUUUUUGAAAAAUAGCAUAAGUCCGUUAACGAGCUUAUUUUUGUUUAGAAAUUUCCUUCUGCCCAAAGGUGUUGGAAUUUUGAAAACCAAUGUAAUUUUGUUAACUAGCUACAUAAUAUAUUUUAAGAGUACCUUAUAACAUGUUGUAUUGUCGGCCCAAAGAUGACUUUACAAUGAUACAUCUAGGCUCUUACCGUAAUGAAAUUCAUAUGUUUCGAUUCAAAUUACGGAUUAUCUGAUUAAUAGCCCAUAUUAAUUAGUUGGAUAUUACAUCAUCCAUUUGAUUGCAUGCAUUACGUUUGGAUGAUAUUAAGUGAUUUAUUUUAUGCUUUCACAGUUUAUAAUGCCCCAUUUCUUUCAAAUCAAUUGUCUGCUAUUGAAAUUUUGACUGGAAAUAAUUAUGUGAGAUGGAAAUGAGACGUAGAAAUAGCACUUGGUCUUUUGGACUUGGAUUUUACAAUGGAGAAAAAGCUUGAAAAACCCACAGAUAAGAGUACUGCUAAAUAUGUAGCUGAGCAUGAAAAGUGGGAAAGGGCUAACAAACUCUAUUUGAAAAUCAUUAAGCGAUCAAUAUCUGAUUCCAUUCUAGGUGCCAUCCCUGAUAAUGAAAAUACCAAAAAUUUUAUGGAUACCAUAGGAGAAAAUUUUGUUGAGUUUGAUAAAGCCAAAACUGGGGAUCUAAUGGAUAAAUUGAUGAGCAUGAGAUAUGAUGACACAAGUGGUGUCAGGGAGCAUGUCAUGAAAAUGAUAAAUAUAUCAUCUAAGCUAAAGGCUCUUGACAUUCCCAUUGCGGAGCCUUUCCUGAUCUAUCAUGUUUUGAAUAGCCUUCCUAGCAAAUUUAAUCAGCUUAAAAUUACUUAUAAUGCUCAGCGGGAUAAAUGAAAUUUGAAUGACCUCAUAGCAGUAUGUGCCCAAGAGGAGUAUAGGAUGCGCCGUGAAACUGUUGAAACUGUGCAAUUAGCUUUUCUACCAUCAUAGAAUAAGGGGUCUUUUCAUAAUCAUAAACCUAAGUUUUGUAAGGAUAAUAAGUCCUACCGAAGUCAGCAGAAUAAAAAUUUUAGUGGUCCCAAAGGAGUUAUAAAGAAAAAUGAUCAAUGCAAGUUCUCUAAAAAGAACGGUUACUGGCAGAAAGACUGUUUUAAGUUCAAGACUUGGUUGGAAAAGAAGAAGAGUUCUCCAGGUAUUCCCUUGGCCUUAGUUUGUUUCGAGUCUUCUUUAGUAUAUGUGCUUUUGAAUUAUUGGUGGUUAGACUCGGGAGCUAGUAUUCAUAUUGCGAAUUCCUUGCAGGGGUUCAUAAGCAAACGGAGGCCAAGUGAGAAUGAAAUAAGUUUGAGCAUUGCAAAUGGAUUUCAAGUGAAGGUUGAAUUCAUAGGAAUAGUGAAGUUAACUUUAGAGUCUGGUUUUUAUCUUGUUUUGGAAAAUACAAUUUAUGUACCGCAGAUGAGACGAAAUUUAAUUUCUAUAUCGAAACUUGAUGCUUGUGGUUUACAUUUAAUUUUGGUAAUGCAAUGGUUAAGUUAUUUAAUGAUUCUCAUUUGAUUGGGAAUGACAUUUUAUGUGAUGGUUUAUAUAAAUUAUCUUUGACUUCUUUUGGUGAUAUCUCAUGUGUUACCAAUGUAUCAAAGAAAAGAACUUUAAUUCGUGAAUCAUCUUCUAUGUUGUGGCAUAAGUGUUUGGGUCAUAUCUCUAAGGAUAGAAUGGAAAGAUAAGUAAAAGAUGAGAUACUUCCCUCCUUAAACUUCUCCGAUUUUGACACCUGUAUAGAUUGUAUAAGAGGAAAGUUAACUAAGUCUACAAGGAAGGGUUUGACUAGAAGUAAUGGAAUUUUACGGGUUAGAUGUAUGACUCAUAAUGAUAUUUGUGUUUGGGCCAAAUUUAUUAAGUGAUCAAUUGUGCCUUUUACACCUUUCGGGUUGUAAUUAAUUUGAUGUGGUAAUUUAAAGUAUGUGGGCCGAAAAUAAACCAUAAUUAAAAUUCUAGUCGUAAUGGGAUGACUCAAUUAUUUCCUAUAUAAAGGCUAGGUCCCCUCUCCUCUCCACAUAUUUUAUUGGCUUGCCCCAUUGAUAACUAAUACUUUUGAGAGGAGCAAGGAGGAGAAGAUCUUGACUGCUAUUACAACUAUUAUUCAUAUCAACAAUGGCUUCCGCAAGUAUGAAUUCGUUUUUUAUUAAUUUAUUAAAUGGUGAUUCUUGAUUCUUACAAUUAAAAUUUAACAAAAAAAAUCAUAUCAAUAGUUUUAGCAAUAGGCACCAAACGUCGCUUAAUAUCAUCAUUGUAAAAGGUUUUAGCAACAUACAACGAACAUUGUUAACAAAUAUGUUUCCGCAAUUAAGUCAACGACCGUUGUGAAAGAGUCACAUAUUAAUUGUUCAGCAACAUGCAAGAAAUGUUGCUAUUGGAUGAGAUUUUAACAACGUUCAUUGAACAUUGCAAAAUAUGUAAAUUUUUUGGAGCAGUCAAUGAAUAAUUCAAAACGAGACAUUAACAAUAUUCAUUUAAAAAAUAUUGUCAAAUCUCAAUUAUGUUAAAUAAUGACAAUAAUAUACACUUAUUAGUAUGUUGCGAUAGACACUUUAUAAACACUCAGUUAAUGAAAUAAUGUCUUUUGAGUAUUGUAAAAAGUCAUUUUUGUUGUAGUGACAUUAUGUAAUUUUCUAAUUAAAUAGGUAAAUUUUAAAAAUAAUACCCAAACUUGCUCUAUGAAAAUAAACCAACAUGCUUUAUUGUUUCCCUUCAUCACUUCAUGACGUCGUCGUAGCCGUUGCCGUCGCCAUCGCAUGGAAUCAGCCACCUACAAUCACCCUAAUUCGAAACUUUGAGUUUGCACUCAAGUUAAAACAAAAAUGAAACUUGAGAUUGACAUCGAAGAAGAAUGAGCUUAGCCGUAGAUGUUCUAAUUUUAAUAAAAAAAUAAAAGUCACAUUACAAAAUAUGUAAUCAUUCUUAAUGCACAGCCCGUAGAAAAAUAGAACAAAGAUAAAAUAAUCAAGUAGAAGCAGAUAUUCACAGUAAAUAAUCAAGGGAGAUAAACAUGCGAUGGCGAUAUGUUAUAAGAUAACAUACAAAUAUCUUUUCAAAAGCACGUUUACACAGAACCAUAGAUUAAUACCAAGUUAAUCAAACACAAGGUCAAACACAUAUGCAACAAAUGCAUAAAUGACCCACUAAAAGAUCUCAACAGGCUUGUCCUAUCCCAUUCCGUGUUGUUCACACCUCGAGAAUACAUAUCUCUUCUCAUCGCUCACUAGACUGAUCACUCAACUCAUAUCUAACUGGUAAGUCACAAUAGAUCCUAAGUCCACGAGAUAAUCCUCUAUCAUCACAUCACUUCUCCAAACCUACGUGGAUAAUGGGUCUCUAUCCAACAGAAGUGAUAGAAGUAUCUCUCUCACACUCCACAUGUACAGAGUCUCUUCACAGAUAAAGAAUUUCAACAUUUAAUCACUUCUACCCUCGUAAUCCAAAUGUCACACUCUACAUCUCCCAUGCAUAUCACCAAUGCACCUUCAGACAUCUAUACUCCACCUUACCAAUAGACACUCAACACGCUGCUAAUGUAUCUCAAACUCAUAAUGGCAAAAUAACACCUUUCCACGAUCUCAAAGGUUAGGGCUCAAUUUGAAAGUUAACCUACGCACCACAAGAUUACUCCAAUCACCAAUGCUACCAAAAAAAAAAAAAAAAAACCCACUAAGGAAAUGACGAAGGUGGUACUCGUAAAGAGAAUAGAGAAAAAUGUUAGUUACUUCACUAUACUCACAAAAGAGGAAGAAGAUAACCCUACAUGGCCGCCUCAAACAAUCUCACAAACCGAAGGGACUCACAAAAAUAAAGGAGAAAAUGCAUGCACAGUCCGCCGGUGGUGUCCGUUUCUCCAACCUCUUUUUGGUUUUGCCGAAAAAUGCUAAUACGGGUCUAGUCAGAAAUGCAAAAAUCUGGACAGAUUCGACCUUUGUUUUUUGCCCCUUUUCAGAUCCUUUUUUGGCCAAUUUCCAAUCAGAUUUAGCACCCAAAAAUCACAUAUUUCUCGAAAACACAAGCUCUGAUACCAUUGUCGCGAAAAUCCCUUGAAAAAUCUUGAUUCGGGCUCAGUUUCAUCAACCAAACGAACACCGAUCAAGCUUUACUCGACCCAAAACUCCCACUUCAUUGCCACAAGUCUUCGUGAUUGAUUUGCAGCCCACAAAGGAAGAGGAAAUAGAGUACCAAUUAGAACCUCAAGGAAGAAGAACCAAACCGGCCAAAAAACUCACGUGUUUCCUCUCUUUCUCACAAGACCAAUACGCAAGAAAAUGGCUUGGGAAUAAGUGUAUAUAUAACGGGUUACUUUAGGUUAACUAAUGGGCCAAAGCGUAACUGCGCCAACAAUCCAAAUACCCAAUAUAUCAUCCCAAUACAAAGCCACGACUUGGGCCAUCCAAAAGUGUUGGUCCACGAGUAACAUUAACUCAAUUAAAUUGCUUCAAAUGGCCCUAAAUUGUUUUUGGGUCGAGCUAUCACCGAGGUAUCGAUAUAACUUAUUCAAUAUCGGUUUAACAACAUCGCCUGGAUUUACUGGGUAUCAAAAACCCAACAAACAUGAAGAACAUUUGCAUCAUUUUUGGCGAAUUUUAGUGCCUUCUUGUGUUUAGCACCCACAAAAUAUUUGUUUCGUUUUUUUUUUUUUUUUUUUUCCUUCCAAAUAAAAAACAACACCAAAAUCAUUUAAUUACUAUUACAUACUUAACAUGAGACACUUGUAACAAUGAAAGUUAUAGUUAACGCAAUCCCAAACGGGGGAUAUUGAAUUAUUAUCAAACUUGAACAUGCUUUUAAAUACAACUACUUAGCAACUACCUCAAUUUAUUUUAUUCCUGGACAAUUACUCAGAAAAGAAGGAUGACCAAACAACAACUAUCGUACUAUGAUAAUAUGCACAUAAAGCUUAUUCCACGAUAUGCAUAUAUGGUAUAUACAAGAAAAGCAACGAUAUCCAAAUGCUCAACUGGUUUAACAAAAUUAAAAUAAGGUUACUUCAAAUCCUAACUCGACAAUAGUACUAGUAUUGCUUAAUAACCCGUGAUAUUGCAUAUUAAAGUAACACAAGUCAACCAUUUCAAAUGACUUAAUUGCAAAUGAAAAACCUAUCGACGAAAGCAAAACUCAAUGAUUUCCUUGCCUCAAUGAAGUUUAUAAGGUAAAACUUAGUGCAUUCACACUCAAAGAAGUUCAUACAUAACCUAUGCACAUGAACUUUGUAAAUUCCAAAUGGAUGAAAUUAGAGAAUAUGAAUCAACAUAAUAAAUAGAAAAAAAAAAAAGGAAAAAGAAAACAGCAACUAAGGAUCAAGUUUAACCUUAGAUUAUCGGGGAUCCUAAACAAUACUUUUCUUUUUCUUCGACUUUAAAGUUCCUUUAAUAUUUUCAUGUUUCCUUUUAGUAGCCUUCAAUUCAAAAAUGGUAGUUUCAAAUGUUGAUGACGAAUGAAGACUAUGUAUAGAUUAAAAUCAACAACAGAAGAUAAAUACAGAUUUGGUUAAAAAAUUUAAGAAAAUUGAGAGAAGGUAGAAUUGAACUAAAAAGGAUGAAUAUACAGUUAGUUGUUCAAGAAUUGAUCAAAUUACAGAGUUAAAUUGAGGAGAAGACGAUCAUCCAACAUUUUAAUUGGUUAACUUGCAGCUUUUUUUGAUGAAAACCAUUAGAGGUCCUUUCAGCACACAUUUAUCAAAUAUUUGGAUUUGUGUUUCACAUUUAUGAAAGAUUUAGGACCCCUGAGGCAAAUUUGCUUAUAUUAAUUAAUUAAAGGUUAAAGAACCAUUUUACCCUUUUAUAAAAUUGAUCUCAUCAAACACUUGAUUUUUUGGUCGAGUAAAAUAUUUAUAGUAUAGUUGAAAGGGUAGUUAUAUCCACAGCAAAUUUUUUUCUAUAAAUACACAAUAUUUUAAUCACAUUAAAAUUUAGUCAUAUUACACUUUUAACCCGAACAUUUUUCCUCGUCACAUUCUUACUUUAGCAUUUCAUUGGUUAGAAAAUCCUAUUCUUACUCAUGAAUUUCAUCCAAAAAUAUUGUUAACUAGAUUUAAAACGAGGGUCAAAUAUUUAAUUGUAUUUUUUUAUUAUUAUUUUUUUUGCUUAUUAAAAAAUACAAUGGACAAUGACUCAUUUUACUCUAUUUUAAAGAAAAUUUCGAAAAAAAAAAUCAUAAUUAGAAACAAUUUAUGUUAAAGUUGAGAGUAAGAAUGUGAUGAAAAAACCUAUGUAUGAAAUGGCAAGGUUUUUACCUAAAGAACCCUAAGUAUUAUCCAUUUUGGCCCAACUCAUUUAACAGGGUCAUAAUUUUUCAAGUGGAAGUUACACCACACUACUUUAAAAAUUCAACAUUCUAAAAUCAGGUUGGAAGUCUCAAAAUUCAAAAAUCAAAAUCUUUUAUAUUAAUUAUUUAAAUAAACUUUGAAUUUCUCUCUCUAUUCUCUACACUAUUUCCCCUCUAUGUCUAACAAUUUCAAACCUAAAAGUUUCAUCCCUUUUCUCCGUCUCCCUUCCAUUUCCCCCUCUUCUUCUCAUUUCUCUUUGUCAGCGGCGCACGAAAAGCAACCAGUACCCACCAUCGUUGUCGCAUAUCACCACUGUCCCUGCUCACUCUCUCUCUCUCUCUCACACACACACCCCUUUCUUCAUCCUCCAUUCUCUGUCUGUCAUCGUCAUGCCAAGGUCACGCGAAGCUACCUUUAACAGUCGCUACGUGCGACUCGAAGUGGCACCUCGCUAAUAGAAUGCUAUGUAGCUAUGAGUGGCACUCACAAACUAUGCCACAACAUGCAAUGGGGAUAUUGCGCCACAGUCGCUGCAAUAUUUUGUGGUGGUUUCUCUGGUCUACUGCUUUACUGAAUUUUUGGUGUGUUUUUUGUUGGUGAUAAUUGCGGGUUUGGGGGUUUUUGUUGGGAGGUGGUGACUAAAAUGUGUGGUAGUGCUCUAUGAGGUGGUGGAUUCUAGCAGGCGGUGGUGGUUGAUUGAAGUUGCAAAUGAAGGUGGAUGUGGUUGGUAUUUGUUGAAGCAGGCGAAUUUAGAGUAGAUGUGGCAACAAUGUAUUUUGUUAUGGUGGUGUUGACAGCGGGAUGGUGGUGGUGGUGAGGUGGCUGUCAGUGGUUGUGUGUGGGUGGCAUGGUGGUGGCUGUCACGGUGGUUUCGGGCGUCGAUGGAGGUGGUUGUUAAUGGCUGGAGAUUUAUUAGUAGUGGUUGUUGUGGUCUUUGUUGGCAGUUGAUUUGAUCUAAUGGUGGUGAUUUUGUUAGUGGUGAUGUUGUGGUGUUCAUGUUAGUGAUGAUGGGUGCGAUGGUGGUGGUAGUUCUGGUGACGAUGAUGGUUGUAGUGGUGCUAGAAGUAGUGGUAAGAUGGUGGUCACAAAUGUUAGUUGUUGUCACAAAUUAUUUGGUUGACUGUAACCAUUAAAUUAGUUAAUCUGUAAUCAAUAAAUAAAUGUGACCAAUAAAAUAUAAAUUAUGACCAAAAAAUAAUGUGUGACCUAAAAAUUGUUAAUCUGUAGCCGAUAAUUUGAUAAUUUGUAACUUAUAAUAUUUGUAAUUUGUGACCAAUAAAUAAAUUGUGAUUUAUAAUUUUUUUUGUAUUUGUAAUCGAUGAACAAAUUGUAACCUAUAAAAUUUUUGAAUUAAAACAUAAAAUUUCUGAUUUGUGACCAAAAAAUAAUAAGUGAUUAACUAAAUCGUUAAUUUGUGACCAAACUAUAUAGAUAUUCGACCUAAAUAUAUUUAGUUAAUAAAAUAAAUAAAUAAUUAAAUCAUAAUUAAAUUUUAAUAAAAAUCUGAUUUUUGAAGUUUGAAACUUGUUUUCUUGAUUUUGAAAUGUAUGAUACUUAAACUCUUAUUUAUGAAUUUUUCUCAUUUUUCAAUCACAUGGCAAAAAUAAAAAUAAAAUUUGAUUAGCGACUUGAAAUAAAUGGGACAAAAUAGUCUAAUUUUGUUUAAAAUUAUAAAUGGUAUUAAUAUUCUGUCUUACUAGAAAGUUACAAAUAAUUCUUAUAAAAAAGAACGGUUAUAAAAUAGAGAGAAGAAGAGAAAAAAUUAGAGAUUUUUCAGUAGACUUGUGUUUUAUUAAUAAUCAAAGCCUCAUAUUUAUACAAAAAUUAAAGUUACAAGGGAUACAAUGGUAAUAAUAACUAAAUCUGUAUGAGUAUAAUUGUCGUUCAUAAAUACUACUAUAUUUACAACACUCCCUCUUGAAUUACUAUUUACACAAUAAUUAUCUCACCGAAAUAUUGUUUGGCAAAAAAUUCAAUGGGAAAAAAAUGUCAACAAAUGAAAAAGUUUAUAAAUAAUUUGAAGUAACAAAAUGCUGCAUCGUUAAAACAUUGUUAAGAAUGCUCAAUGAGAUAAAACUUGAUCGAAGAAAAAAGUAUAGCUACUCUCUCUGAUUUCAAUUCUUGUAUCAAUUCAAAUUUGUCUUGUAUAUCAAUGUUUUCAAUAUUGCAAUUUCUAGUGAAAUAUGUCUCACGUUGUCUUGUAUAGUUUUUAAAAAACACUUUCUUCACACAAGAUAUUUACAACCUUUGAUGAUCAUAGUAACAUGAUGAUUUGACAAAUAACUUUUAUUAAUCUUUUCGGGAGUCUCAUAAAUAUAAAAAUAUUAUUUUGAAGGUAAAUGUCUUAUAUGUUAUGGUCGUUAAUUACAAAAAGAAUAUGUCUCGUUAAAUUCAUAUUGGAAAAAAUCCUAUGUGAAAAAAUAGAAUGAAAGAAAAAGAGUAAGGGUUUGUUUGGUAGUGAUUUGGAGAAUUGAUUUUUUGACUAUUACAGAAAAAGUGGGUUCUACCUAUUGAUUUUUUUGGAGAGAAAAAUCAAUACCAAACAUGCACUAAAUUAUUUUUUUGAGUAAACUACAAAAAGUCGUCAAAAAAAAAUCCAUUAGAACAAAACUAAUAUCGCUUGAAUUAUGCUUCAGGCAUAUUAAAUUUUUCAAAAAUAUUAAAAAUUUAAAACCAUACAAAAUAAAUUGGCUAUAAUCACAUUCAUAUCAAAUUUUAUACAUUGUCAGAUUAAUAAAAUAGAGACUUGUGAUUACAUUCACUACAUAAUAAUUUAUAUACUUAUACAAGUAUUUGCAAAAUUCAUUAUGUAAAGAAUCGUACAUUUCAUAUUACGACUUUAUUUUUUCCAUUUUCAUUUCAUAUAAAUAUACACUUUUAGGUUUUGGGACUACAGGUCUAGAAACUUCAGAUUUCUCUAGUAAGUUCAAUUUUACUAGGAUUGCGUCCUUUAGUUGGCCAAUUAUUUUUUUCGAUCAAUAUGUUUCGACAAAUUUAUUUCGAUUCCCAAGUUAUUCAUAGAUGAUGCAGUACAAGCGCAAAAAUGUAGUCGACAACUUUUCUUUUUUAAUUCUAUUUCUUUUCUCAUACCCACAUAACUUAUUAAAAUCUAUCAAUUUUUUAACAUAUCAUAUACCUAAACUUUCUCAAAUUUUACUUUUUAUUAUGCAUAUAUAUACUUUACAAAAAUAUAUGCCUCCUAAAUGAGAUCAUCUUUAUAAAUUGCUCAAUUUUCAUUUGAAUUUUUUUUUUAAUAUUAGAAUCGAAUCAUCACACUUGAGACGUACCAUAAUAUUAAUGAAUUGUCCUCUAGAACAUUAAUUCGAGUUGAAGCAUUUAAGACUGGCGUAUAAGAUAUUGUUCAUCUGUAAAUGUAUCAAAAUGAAGUAUCUUUUGAACUUCUGAUUUGAACUUAUUUUUUUUACGAGAAUCUAGAUGAUAUUAGAAUGCUCAUUUUGUGUAUAAUUUUCAGCUUUUUAAAUCAUUCCUCUAAUGCUGAAAGAAUUGUCUAAUCAAAUUGGCAAUCAGCUAAUCGUGUUAUAAAAUAUUGCUUAUUUGAUAUAAGGACUCAAAAUAUGUAUUCAUUCUCAACUUUCUUUACAUUCCAUCUCAGUGUAUUAUGGUGGAUAAAUCGUACAUGUAUUGCAUUAUCAAAAUAAUUAGAUGAAAAAAUUAGGCUAUGACUAUAAGUCAAUUACAUUACGAAGAACUAUGGUAUUAGCAUGAUGCUUAAUAGAAUACCAAAACAUAAGUGGGAGCUUUUUUUUUUUCUCAAUACUAAUGAUUAAGAAAUUAAUUGGAAGCGUUUAACAUACAAUAUUAUUAAAUGAUUUAUAGACAUCACGACUAACACUUAUUAAAAUGUUGAGAUUUAUGCUCACUAGUAUUAACAAGACACACAAUCUUAAUUGUAUAAUCUGAAAAUUAUGUUUAUAAUUUAAAAUUUGAGCCACAACGUCACAAACUUCAGGUUGUGAAAACCAAGCAAUCAUCUAGUAGAUGUAUUGAAUCUAUUACAUACAAUUAACAUUUAGAUGGUCAACGUGGCCUCAUAUAUCACCCAUAUUAAUAUAGAGAGUUCACUCCUUAUAUUAGCUAGCGAUUAUCAAUGAUUUAUUUUUCAAUAAAGAGAACAAAUAAUGUAUAGGAAUUCAUUGAAUUAAAGAAUCUUCUAGUUCUUUGUUGAAUGUACAUUUGAAUUUUCAUUUCACAUCAUUAUUGAUCCAGUGAUUAUCUAACUAUGCAUAUCAAACAAUAAAAUAUAAAAGUUAUUGAACUUCAGGUUCAAUAGAAUAUUUAUCAAAAUGGUCACUGGAGUUUAGUAUAAUGUACCGAUGAAGAAACACUUUUAAAAGCUUUGUAGAUUUUUCUUUUAUUUAAUGGAGAUCAAAUUACUAGCAAUAGUAAGUUUAUUUCUCAAAACAGUAUUUCUCAAAAAUAUUUAUAUUAAGGGCAUAUUUGAGCCACAUUUUUUCAAAAAAAUACAUUUUUAAACAGUGAUUUGACAUCAUUUCAACAACGCAUUCUUUAAUAAAAUAAUAUUACAUGCAAAUAAAAAACUUUUCCUUAUUUUUUAACAACACAUUUUCCAUCAAUACACUAUUCAAGAAUGCAUUAUCACCAAAAUAAUGUGGCUCAAAAACCCUCUAAUAAAAUAUUACUUCUUUAAAAAAAAUUAAUUGAAAUUACAAUUAUUAAAAUCGAUAUAAUAUUUACAUUAAAAUGUCUAAAAUGAUUCCUCAAAAAUAGCCACAUAAUAUUCUUCAAAAGUAUCAAUGAAUGUAAAAUUUUGUUUCUUUUAAAGCGACACAUAUUCUUCUACAAUAUUGAUCUGUACUAAUUGAUUCAAACAAUUGUGCAAUAUGUUUAUAAAAUAUUUAAAUGUCUUAAAUCAUUUCGUUCAGGAAUAAUAAUAAUAUCAUGUUCAUCAAGAGUAAUAACAUAUUAUUGUUUAUAGUAAUAAAUUAUAUAAGGAUUUACUCUUAAUGAGUGAAAGCAUAAUUUAUAUUAGAUCAUAUAUUAUUAUGCUCUUCGAGAGUAAGAAAAAUCUAAUUAGAAUAUUAAUGGGAUUUAUAAUAUGCUACUUCGAGAGCACACUAUAUUUUAUUAUUGCCUUUUCAAGAGCAAUAUGUCAAUAUUCUAUUGAAAAAUUGAAAAUUAUAAUCCAUGCUCUUCAAGAGCAAAUAAUGUUCUUAUAGAAUAUUAAUUAUAAUGUUACACUACUUCAGGAACAAUAACAUGAUGGAUUAUCAAUUUAAAGUUUAUAAAAUAAUAUCUAAAAAUAUUUAAUUAGUUUAAAAAUAUUAAUUAUCAUAUAGAAAGGAUAUGACAUAAAAAGUAAUUGCCAAGCAGAUAGGAUAUGAAUUUAUAUGCAAAAAUUAAUUACGAAACAUGUAUUAGGAAAAAAAAUCUUUUAUAUACAAAAGUUAAUAGAAUUGACUAAAUAUUUUACCAACAUACAAAAGAUACUAAAUGUGCACAUGAAUUCCACGUAUACAAAAGUUAAAGGCAAAAAUAACUUCAAAAAAAAUUUCACAUCCACAGAAGUUGAAGGCCUGAAUUCUACAUCUCAAAAGGCAUGAAUUGGAUGCGNNNNNNNNNNNNNNNNNNNNNNNGGGGGGGGGGGGGGGGGGGGGGGGGGGGGACACGUCUCCAAAUUGAUUUCGGUACAUGUGAUAAAAAAUUAUUAACAUCUAAUAAAUUAACUUUGAUUAUGAAAUAAUUGAGCUAAUAAUGUGUUAUAAAAAUAGAGAGAAAAAAAAAUAGAGAAGUCAAUAAAUUUGUGUGUUUUAUCAAUAAUUAAAACCUAUAAUUAUAGAAAAAUUAUGGCUACAAAGAAUAAAACAGUAAUAUUAACUAAGGCUGUAAAGAUAUAAUUGUCAUUCAUAAAUAUUACCAUAUUUACAACAAGAAUAUUAUCAUAAAAUGAUAGAUAUGAUAAACGAUAAAUUAAUCUUGAAACAUUACACACAACAGUUUAUCAUUAUGAUAAAUUUACACACUUAAACCCUAUAUGGUUUAGCUAAAAAUCGAUUUUCAAUAGAUUUUGUUCAAAAUUGAUGUAAUAUGAUUGAAAAGUUGAUAAAAGUUGACAAACAGGGGCUUAAACUUUUAGUUGCUAAUUCUCUUCCACUUUUACUUGAGCUGGACCUUGAAGACAGAGGAAGCAUUUAACAAAACUGCCUUGUGACUUGACGAACACUGGGUUGCAAUCUCUAGGCUCGUCUCAGCAUCUCAUCUCUGUCAAUUCUGUGCACUAGACUGAAUUAUCCGGUGCCUUUCUGAGAGAUCCAAUAGAAUUAAUCUCGACCUUCAUCAUUGCAUGAGGUUCUCAAUUUGAUUGUCAGCUUAAGAUGGCUUGCAGUACUUCUUUGGUUACUAAAGAGAUGAUUGCACAGUGAUAAGCAGAAAGAGACCAUGGCUGAAUCUGUGUUUUGAAGGCUGUGAAGUUGGAUGUCAUGAUGGAUGGCAAUUCCACAAAUCUAAUGGCAGUUAAUCUUGAUUAUCUUGCUUAUUUUUCCUCCACGAGAAAUUUUGGGUUUUUAACAAGAUAUUUAAUAGAUGAGUUAACCGAACCAUUCUCAAUAGCGCACAGUCUUCUCUGCAAAUAUUACAUGCUUAUAUUAUCUGUUUUCAGUUCUGCUGGUGAUUCUUGAAGAAUAGUUUGGCUGGUAGCACUUUUUAGGUGGACCGCCAAACAAACAACUUUCGUUGAAAAAAACUCUACUAACAAAAGCUCCACUCAUAACAAUUGUGCCAGAAGGUCACGUACACGAGGGACAAUAGACUAUAGUCUAUAAAUAAGUACUAGGUCUCAGCAAUACUCAAAUGUGCACCAACUCGAUGUAACGUAUCUAAUCUUUCCCAAGCAUAUAAAAAUGAUAAACAGACCUGGAUAAAAUCCUCUCAAAGAUACUCGAUUCCUGCAAUAUCAUGAAUUCAUAGAGUUCCAUUCAAAAAAUAUCUGGUAUGUGCAUCAGCUUCAAAAGGAGAUUGACCAUGCAGGCAGUUGAUGAUGAUGAUUGGAUUUCAGAUAAAAGCACUCCGUCCACCCCUCCGACUAUGCCUGUCAUAUGCAGUAUUGAAUUUAUCGACCAGCUCGUUCAUUGUGCUGCCCAAAGGACAAAGGAAGUAUACAUAUCACAUGCGGCAACUUAAAACUAAUCUGUGAUAUAUAAAGCUGUCAAAUUCAUUGAUGCGCCGAAACCAAGUGAACUGUAUAUAUCGAUAGAAUCCUGGCAAUUUCUAUUAGAUGGAAGAAAAAUGGAUAAUUUCUGGUGAAAUCACUGGUUCUGAAGAUAUCCAAGAAAUUACCAAGGGUAAAAUUUUAGCAAAAUAUUAUAAUUUAUACUAAAGUAAAAUCAUUAAAAUUGCGUUCCUUCCAGCAAAUGCUAUACAAACUUUACCCACAUACCAUAAGAAAGAUGAGGUGUCAAGGACCGCAAAUAUACUUAUCACUUUGACCCAUUCGCAGCCGCAAUUUGCCCAACUUCGGCCGCACUUUAUAAAUGUUUUGUUUAAGUCGUAAUUUUCUUUAAGUUGUAAUAAUUUAUUUGAGUUGUAAAAUAAUCCUGCUAUUUAUAAACGUUUAGCAUAAUUCCUCGUCAUUUAAAAGUCCACUCAUGUCAUUUAGGUUUUCCUUAAGCUAUUAUAAGGGUAUAAGGCAUUUGAAAAUCUUGUCAAGAUCACUUGUGUUUGCUCCCAACACUAGUAAUUGUAAUUUUCUGUUUAUCAAUCAAUAAACAAAUCAUUUUCAAUUCAUUCAAAUUCUCUGUUACAAAGCUCUCUUUAAAUUGUAAUCAAAUUGUCUUUCGUCCCAAAACGACCGUGGAAAUGCGAAAGGUAGUCGAGCAGAGUAGACUACUGCCGUACUGUUCCCCUUUCUGCGUUAAGAAGAAAGGUGCCCCGUUAAACUAGGUCUUGCCAAAACUUAGACGAGCUAGGCAUAAUUGAUUCUAAGAGAAUAAUUAAUCUUGCAUGCGUAAUUUGAAACUGGUCCAACUGCUUUCACCCAUGAUACUUUGCUUCUUCCUUUUAUCAUCAAAGUCAAUGAUUCCAUCUUCUAAAUGCAAAUAGAUAACUAAAAGGCUAAUUUAAACAUACCUCGAGCAGUUGGUGAACAUGGCAAGGUAACUGAUUAAUAAUGUGUCAUUAUAUUCCUGCAAAUAAUUAUAAUAUUAGACUCAGAAAAAAUAAAUAAAUAAAUAACUUAAUCCAAGAUCAUGUCUAAGCUACUUAAAAUCAAUCACCAUAUGAAUGUGAGAAUCAAUUUGAGCAAACGAGAAAUACAGAAGAAAAAUGCAAUGGGUACAAAAGUAGACAAGAACUCCCCACCUAUCCAUUAACCCCCAUAAGCAAGUGAAGCAUUCAUAAUACUGCUAAGUAAAUUAUCUCAAGGAAAAUCACAAGUUUGUAAAAGUACUCACCAUCAAGAAAUCAUCCUGAAACUUUUCAGAUUCAAUGGCUGGCAAUCUUCUUAAGAGACUAGAUACUUCCCUUAGCAAUGAAUUCUCACAAGGAAUAUCACCUGAAUGCAGCAGUAACUCAAUUAACAACUUAUAGCUGAGGUCCUUCAAUGAGACAGACAAUUUUGCCCUUCAUCUCAUAGGCAUAUCAAGGAAGCCAACCAAAGCUCUCUAAGAACAAGAUAUGCUUGAAUCUAGUAAAGAUGUUCUAGGCAUUAUUAGACUGUGAAACUUAAAACAGAUCACGAGAAUCAUUUUGUAAAAAAGAAAUCCUCCUAUACACAAAUCAAAAUGAAACCCACACCAAAAAAAAAAAGAAAAAUAAAUAAAUAAAUAAAAAUAAAUAAUAAUAAUAAUAAUCAUAAAGUCCUCAAAAUUAGUUGAAAAUACCUUUCUGCAUUGCAAGAAGAUAAUGAUGAAGUACUCUGAUUCUGCUAUUAAGCAUCUUAAUGGCACUGUGUAUGCCUGUAAGGUGAGCAGCCACUACAAACAAAAUUCAUUUGUAAGUCCUAUCCACGUACUACCAACAAGAAAAAUCUGAACCAAACAAAAGAAAUAUCUGUCCCAUAACUUCCAAAGAAACAGCUAGGGAUAACUUAUAUCACCUGAGAACUUAUUUAAAAAGAGGAAAAACUCACAUUGAGUUGCAGCUGAACCCCCGUCAGAUGGUUUAAGAUGGGCGACAUGAUCGAUGGAGAUUCGUUCAGCUUCAACUGUCUGACAAGCAAGUAAAAAUGAGAUUUAAGUUUCCUGAUGUCAAACUUGUGCGAAAUACAAUCUGAAAACAUGUGAAGAACAUACCUCUAUUGUGUAGCUGGACUGAACAAAAAUAAGCUGGGGGAUCCCAUCAAUCACAUGCAACUCUUGAGAGAUAAUAAUUAGUUGAGAAGAAAGAAAAAUUAUAAUUAAUAAAAUUUCAUAUAAAUCAUAAUUAAAAAUAAUCAAAUUAGCAGGUAUUAUGAUUGAGUGAACACAAGUAUUGUAGCCUAUUGUGCAAAACAAGUAAAACAUUGUCAAAUAUGGUGGCAUGGUUUUCUGGAGUAAAUUUCAUGAUUGAAAUGUAAACAAUAAAAAAUUUUGGGGGUAAAUCCAUAAUCAAUUAAGAAUAUGUCCUCAACACUGCUCCAGGCUUUCUCAAGGUGCUUGAUAAUUUUGAUGUGGCUAGCCUAUUACUACAUACACAAAGUGAACCAUGAAAAAAUAAUUAGGAUGUCUAAAGAGGCUUUUCAAUAUGUGAAACUACUUACUUUACUCUCCCAACCAGGGACGGAUGGUAUCUGUUAAGUGUCCCAGCGAAACGUGUAUGGAUUUAGAAGCUUUCACCAAAAUUUUAGAAUAUUCUCGACAAAUUUCCACCUAUCGAAAUUUUAAUGCAAAAAAUUAUUUCUUUGACCCGGGAAUUUGUGCAAUGGUGUCUACAACUUAAAACUAUUUUGUCUAAGUUAACCAUGUAAACAUGAUAGAAGAAUCUUUGAACUAAUUUGAUAUGUCAUUAAUUGGAACCACUUGUAUCUAUCCUAAUUCAUGAGUGCUCUAUCCUUUAACUCAUCGAAGGUGGCAAGUCGUUAACACUCUAGAUAGCCAUAUAGGUAGGUAAGAGCAAGUUUGUAGGUAAGAGCAAGUUUGCAAAGCUUAUACUCUAUUUUUUAUGCACACAUUCCAUAGUACCCACAAUUUUUACAUACUUUUACCUACCUGUUAUCCACACAUUUUAUAGGAUCCGCAACUUAUAAUCUAAUAAAACAUUUUCUAAACAUACUUUUGAGCGAUAUCCCAUUUCUAAGUACUAUUUACUUUGGGAUGAAUUUUUACUCGAACCACGUCAUAUGAUGUAUUACACUCAUUAAACCUCAGAUCUUCACAUUUCAAAGUUGAAUUGAGUUCCCGCAGUUGCUGGUUUGAAAUGGAUAUCAUUUAUAUAGCAAUUUUGUUCCAUAGAGUGCCUACGAAUUUCAUCCGCUUUUAAGUGUAUCACAUGACAGCGCAAUAAUAAAUACAUACCACUUUCAUAAAUAGUAACUGGCAAAUCUUUCUGGGCCGGGUUUAUUGACGGAUUGAGAAGAACAUAUAGAGGACUCUCAUUGAUAUCCAUCAACUGUCAGGAAGCACAAUAUGUCAUCAGAAUUAGGGAUGCAUAUAUGGAUCUACUGCUAUCACAUAUAUCAGCCUUGUUUGGUUUAGCUAAAAAUUAAUUUUUCAAUAGAUUUUGAUAAAAUGUUGAUGAUAUGUGCGGUUAAAAAGUUGAUGAAAAUUGUGAAUCACAUAAAAUGUGUAUUGAAAAAUGAGUUUGGGAAAAUAUGAGUUUUAAAAAAUAAGGAUCAAAGAGGGGCAUAAUAUAACCUAAUAUGUAUUAUUUCAGCAUCUAAAGCACUACGGAGCCAGCAUUUGAUAAACUCGAACUCACUGUGUUUGUUUUUGCAACAAGUAUAUUAGGAAAAAAAAUCAUAGGUGAAUCUAGUGAGGUCAUUAUGAACAGUGAAAAAUGUUUAAAAUAUUCGAGCAUAGUGUAGUUCCUUCCUUUUAUCUAACCAGGAGCGGACAAAUAACAUAUCAGCAGCAAAUAAGAGGCCGAUAAUAUUCAUCAUCAAGGCAGUGAGUAGCAACACUUUAAAAUCUAAGCAUGUCAACACGUGACAUGACAUAAAUUAGUAAAAUUAGAAAUUUCCCUAACAACCAGUAUUAGGAUGAACAUUUUCAACCUCAAUGUAAACAAUGAAAUACUAUAUAAAUGUAUUUCGAAAUUCCCAGCUUGUUUUAUCUGAUCUUGCUCUUGCUAGACUUGUAUACUCAACUACAAUCCAAAAUCACAUUCUCCCUCAUAUUCCAUAUGUAAGAUCUUUCUGUUAGGAAUCGCAGUGAUAUCAUUCAAAUUGCAUACCCUACUCGCAUGAUCUCAAAAUAUUCGAGUCCAGUCUCAGCUCGAAUUUUGAGCAAAAUUUAUUCCAUCAAAAUAGAACUAUAUAAUAAGAGAGUGAAAAAUAAAAAAAUAAAAAAAAUACACUCACAUCUCUGUGAAUUUGCAUAUCAGAUUCCUGGGCGUCGCUCCCUGUCGAGUACCAUCCCAGUAUAUAAAAAUUUGGAAACACCUUCUUAUCUGCUCAACGCAUCAAAAUCAUUACUUUCAAUUUCCACCACCCAAAACGAAACAAACAUGAAUAAAUAAGUGAAGUACAUACAGAGUUCCUGUUUUUUCUCCAGGAAGGCACGGUCCAGGGAGUGAGUGCAGGGAUCAUAUAGGAGCUCAAAACUGUUGAAUAUCUCGACAGUACGGCCGCGUUGGACUCCUAUGACGCAUCCGAAUACUCGGGGCGGAGGCUGCUGAGGCGGCGAAGAGGAAUCAGAGGUGGCGCCGUUGGAGGCGGAGGCAGCGUGAGGGGUGGAGGGAGGGGGUAAAGACUGGGACUUGAUCCGAGUGUAAUGAUCGGAAAUGUUGACAAUGAAUAGUGGAUGAAGCUUGAAUGUUAGCCCACUACUCGACGAUGACGCCAUAUUCUCUUCGAGUCCUAAGCCCUUUGCAGCUUCGGUAAUUUGACGGAAAAUGGAAGGGAAGGGCUUUAGCAUUUUUUUCUCCAUACCCUUUCCCAAGUAAAUUGUUUCAAUGAGCAUUGAACUUAUGUUCAUAUUUUUUAUUAGUCACUGAAGUUUAUAAUAUCGAGUUUUGAUUAUUUAACUUAGGUCCAUAUCUUAAAUUACUCACUAAAAUUUAAAAUAUCGAGUUUUGAUCAAUGAAUUUUGAAAAAUAUUACACAUUACUCAUUGUAAAAUCGAUAUUUUCCAAAAUUCAAUAGUUUUCCUAGUGAGUAACGUACGACAUUUUUUAAUGUUUAGUGAUCAAAACUCGACAAGUGAGCAACCAAAAAUAUAGACAUAAGUUCAGUGACCAAAAUAUCAAAGACAUGAACCUAAAUUCAGUGGCCAUCGAAACAAUUAACUCCCUUUCCCCUUUAUAUUUUUUCUUUUGUCUUUCUUCCUUCCCCUAUGCAAAAUAUGUAUUUUUUAAUUGAUUCUUAAAAUGUUGAGCACGCUUGUUUUGAAUUUUAAGCAAUAAAUUAUUGAAAAUGUUAUCAUGAAUGAAUUUUAUUUAUUUAUUUAUUUUUAUUUAUGAGCUUGAAAAUAAUCGUGUCGGAAUUGUACCUCAGUUUGACUUGACAAAUUUUGAUCAAACUCAUUUUCAUGGAAUUCUAUUUUUAUGGUGCAAGAUUUGAUAUGAAGUGUACACAGCAGGACAGUCUUUUGGUAGUUGGAUGGAGGGUUAUUUGUGUAUGCGAUUAAAAGGUUCAACACCUCAUUUAUGCAAACUUAAGCAUGCACAUUUAUGCUCUCUCUCUCUCUCUCUCUCUCUCUCUCCGUGUCUGAAAUGAUUUUCAUCUUUUACAUUCUUUAUUCUCUUCACUGAAAUCCAUAUCUUAAUUUCCACGGUGUAAAUGUAGAUAAGGGAAGGUUUUUACGUAUAGAUGGCUAAUGUUUUGUAAUAAGUUUGUGACGUAAAAGAUUGUAUUGGUAUGAAUUGUUGAAAGUUGUGUUGACCUCAAUUAAUGUUGCCAACAGAUAUCGGAUCCACCUGCGCUCAUGUAAGCGAAAGUUCAAUACGCAAAAAUACGUGGACGGUCUAAAAAGGACAGAUCAAGGGCGUGGGAGUAGCUCAACGACGCGGGACGAGAACGUUCGGAAUUCGAUGAGAUGAUCGUAGACCGAUUGUAUAAUAAUUACCAAUCGAUGUUUGCUAAUGUGUAUCUAAAUAUAUAUGAACUCGUUUAUGUUGCAAUAAUAAGAAAGAGAGAGUUGAGUAAAUUAUGAUUUCUUGUAUUGAUUCUUGCAUUCGCCUCUGUAUGAGAUACAUGAGAGAGUAUUUAUAAUGUUACUAGUUAGAUCGUGACCUUUGGUUCGGGGUAUACAUGGCAUCAUCCGGUUGAGUUACAUGUCAAAUUGUAGACAUCAGUCGCACCUAGCCUGUUAUACAUUUAUUGAUUGGCAGAGCCGCCUCUACUAGUGACAAGACUUAACAUUUACACUCAUGACAAACGUCCUAUCAAUUAUUCAAGUAAGAUCUUUGUGUAGAAGAUCUCUUGGAAGAGGUGUCUAUGGAAGAUGUUGCUUUGUGCUUCGGAUGCUGUCACCUCGACUAAGGAGUUUUGGCAAAGAGGGCCUCGGCAUAUGGACUUCAGAAUCUCCUCAUGAGGCAUGGAUAAAUGGGCAUCGGCUAUGCAAAUCACCUCAGAUUGAGUGCCACGUGGUUCGGCAUGAACUGGAUGUGGGCCUCGGUGUGUUGCCUAAGUGUGCGAACAUGUAACAAUAGUCCCCCAAGUCCAAGUAUAGUCAUUUAUGUAAUGCGAGGACUUUGAUGAAGUAAAGCCAGCCAGUUAAGUUGAAAGAAAUUUUUGUACCCCAAAUAAUAGUCCCCCAAGUCCAAGUAUAGAUAUUUAUAUCAUGGUUGGAGUUAGAGAUUUGUUAUUGUCUGAGAAGUGAUGAGAAUGAUAAAGUCGAGGUGGUUGGGAAACCGAACCUGCGAGGCUUGAUGGCUGAAUUUUGAUGAAGAAGUCGAGGUGGUUGGGAAACCGAACAUGUGAGGCUUGAUGGCUGAAUUGUGAUGAAGAAGCCGAGGUGGUUGAGGAACCGAACCUACGAGACUUGAUGGCUGAAUUGUGAUGAAGAAGUCGAGGUGGUUGAGAAACCGAACCUAUGAGGCUUGAUGGUUGAAUUAUGAGGAAGAAGUCGAGGUGGUUGAGAAACCGAACCUGCGAGGCUUGAUGGCUGAAUUGUGAUGAAGAAGCCGAGGUGGUUGAGAAACCGAACCUACGAGGCAUGAUGGCUGAAUUAUGAGGAAGAAGUCGAGGUGGUUGAGAAACAGAACCUGCGAGGCUUGAUGGCUGAGUUGUGAUGAAGAAGCCGAGGUGGUUGAGAAACUGAACCUACGAGGCUUGAUGGCUGAAUUAUGAGGAAGAAGCCGAGGUGGUUGAGAAACUGAACCUGCGAGACUUGAUGACUGAAUUGUGAUGAAGAAACCGAGGUGGUUAAGAAACCGAACCUACGAGGCUUGAUGGCUGAAUUCUGAGGCACACUGACAAUAAUUGUUCCUCGACAGCUGUGCCAGUGAUUUGAUGUUUUGCGCAUAUUUUCGAGAAAAAGUGGUUGAACGGUUACAACUUCCAAGGUACCUGCUACCGUCGAAUUAAAAUCGUAAUUAUGAGAACAGCUAGAGCUUCUAGAAGCAGAUGCGUUGGAGGAGGUGCGUAGGGGACACGCUUAAAUCUGAGACGUAGGUUUGAAAAAUCGUUUGAAUUCUACGCCUCGAAUUUAAUUAAGAAUGAAGAGUUCAGAUUGGAUGGGCUUUGAUCAGACAGUUGGGGUUCGUCCUGGCCCUUUAUAAAAGGUGAGAGACCCUCAUUGUCUUGGAUUUUCUACCAUUUGCAAUCCAAUUUUUCUUCCAAAGCUAAAGUUUUUCGGCGUCGAAGCUCUUUGUCCCUUGAUUUUCCGGCAGCAUUUCGUCGGCGUAGUAACCACGUAGGUAUUUUUACAGAAAAUCCCUUGUAUUGUGUUCUUAGUCAUUUUCUGAAAUGGAGUCCAUCUCGGGUAGGGAGUUGGUCACCGUCGCGUCAUUCGGUCAGGGGGCUAGUUACAGGGGGGACUCCGAGGUUGAGCAGUAUGCUAUGACCAAGGAGGCAGUAGAUUACAGUGUGGAGUGGGGGGCAUCUAGGGUCCCUUCGAACAUGACAGGGAAGAGGUUGGGGGAGAUUAGGGAGAGGUACUGUGUACCUCAUUAUGUAAAGAUGUUAAUACCCGAGGCCCAUGAGCGGGCCUGCUGUCCGAGCCCUGGGUAUGUGGCAGUGAUCGAGUACCUGUUUAAAGCAGGUAUGCGUCUUCCUCUACACCCCUUCUUCAGGGCGGUGUUGAGGAACUUCAUGUUGUCACUGCCUUAGGUUCUGCCAAAUGGGUGAAGUCAGUUGGUUGGCUCGUACUUCACAUGGAAGGAAGUUUCCCUUGGGGAGGAUAUGCCUUUCCACGUCUUCAUGACCCUAUUCCACUCUAGGGUAAUAGGUAAGGAGUCAAGGGGGUGGUAUUACUUAACUCUUUGGGGGGGGGGGGGGCUCAUGCGCCAUUCGUGUUGAGGUUGCCUUCUUCCAUUAAGGGGUAAAAGGAGUCGUGGUUCUGGGUGAUGGGCAGGUGGUAGGCGGUGGAGGGAGACACAGCCCUGGCUUGCAUAGUACCAACCCAGUACUGUGAAGCUCGUGAGUCUCCCAGCCUAAGUAGUUUGCAUUCUGUAUUCAAAUUUCUUUUUUCUCUAACUGUUGGGGCUUCGUUUGCAGAUAGCAGUACGAGGUUCGAGUUGAGGAAGGAGGAGUUCGAAGUGCUUUAUAAGAGACCUCUCAAGCUUCGCCACUUCGACCACCUCAUUGACUGAAGUCGAUACUUCCUUGAUUUCGAACUGAUGGCCUCCAAGGGUAAGAAGCUCCUAUACUUGUGUACUUCUUGCUUUUUGUUUUGAUGCUAAUGCGUUGACAUGUUUUGCAUACAAGUUCAAGAUGAGGGAAUACCCAGCCCCUGACAUGGCCUCUAUACUUAAGGCCACAUCCACUGUGAAGGUGAGGCCUCUGAAGCCGGGGUCCAGUGGUGCCAAAGAGGCUAGGGGUAGGGUUGAGUGCCUCUUUAAGGACAGAAGCUCAAGGGCUCUCCAAAAGGGGGCACCUCAGAAGCCGGAGAAGGCUAAAGAGCUUCGGGGAAAAGAGAAAGUCCUCGAAGAGUCGAAAAAGAGGAAGCUGGUGCAUGUCACCAGCUCAUCAGGAAAAUUUGGGACCUCCGUGUCCCAUGUAGGCAGAGAAGUCACUCAGCUGAAGCUCUUUGCAUCCGCCUCGAAAGCGGUAAAAAUAGAGAUGGUUCUAUGAGCCGAGGCUGAGAAGGCAAAGGAAGAGGCUGCGAGGAGGGCAGCUGAGGCUGUAGAGGAGGAGACCGCCAAGCAGAGGCCUGCCAGGGUGCAAGGAAAGUCUCCGAGCUUCCUUGCCGGAAGGAAGGAGGUUCUAGCUCCAACAUUAGUGGAGGCUCUACCACCUGAGAUCCGAAGUUCCACAGAAAGCUUCUACAAAUUUUGGACGGAUUGGUGGCAGUUGCAUGCCUCCUCAUGUGACGCCAUAGACUUGAUAAGGGCCCUCGUAAGCCAAAGUGUGAAGACCUUUGGCCUCACACUGGAGUCCAAGGAGGCCCUUACUGACUUCCAAACGAGGACCCAGUCCUCGAAGAAGAAGAUGGCCUCCCUCGCAAAGGAGCUAAAGGGAGCAAGAACCGAGGCGGAGAAAGCGAGGGCCCAAAAACUUGAAGAUGUGGCUAAGUUGGAGUCUGCCUUGGCUCAGAUUGAAGCGUUGAAGAAGGAGGUGUAUGAGUCCCUAUGCGAGGUGGCCUCCUUGACUAAGAAAGUGGAGGCUUUCAAUGACCACCAAAAGGUGAUUGUUGAAGCCUUGGAGAAGGCAAAUUUGGAGCUGGCUGGGGCUCAAGAUGCCUACAAGUUCUUGGAGGGCUAGAUAAAGUGGUAUGUUGAUGAUGCAACCAAGGCUAGGGAGGAGGCCCAUGAUGUGAGGGAGGAGGCAGUGAAAGACUACAUCGCCAACUUCUACAAUACCGAGGAGUACAAGAGCUUCAUCACUUACUGGAGAAAUUUUGCUUAUGCCUAGAUGAUGGAGAGGGCUGAGGAGCUUUACCCAAAUCAAGACCUGUCACAACUGAGGUCAGAAUUUGUUGAUGAAGUGCCUCAAACCCCAGCUGAUGAAGAGGUUGGAGAUGAAGUAGCGGAGGCAGAAGAAAGAAGUUCUGAUGCUCAAGCUGCGGAGGCCUCGGCUGUAAAGGCACCUCCCCCGUCUUCACAGGCUUAGGACACUUUUCUUUUCAGUUAUUUCUAAUGUACUGGCCUCGUGCCCCCUUUUGUAAUCUUGGUUCAAAAUCAAUGGAUUAUCUUCUUUCAUUCAAUUUUUUUUUCUCCUAAAUGUAUUGGUCUCGUCAAGCAAUUGAACUUAAUGUUGAUUGAAGAACUAAAUAACUUUAACUUGGUAUCCUACCUCCAAUCACUUGAGCAAGUAAAUUGUACGGAAGCCUCACGAACCAUAAACAAUAUUGGACUUAAGCAAAUGAACUGUACUUAAGCUUAACAACCAUAACCUGAAUGGAUCCUGACUGGACAGUGUUUCAACCGAACUGGGAAUAUUAUCUGAUUCAAAGUGUAUGCGCCUCGGAGUUCAAACGAGGUGGUCCAAAGAUGGGACGCUGUCCUCUCCUUGGAGGUGACGACGCUUCCCAACAUGGUGGAGGGUUCAGCCAUAAUGAGGCUUCCCCCAGCGGUGUUCAGCCUCGCCAAAGGGAGGCAAAUGCAUGCCCUCGGAGUUUAAACGAGGUGGCCCAAAGAUGGGACAUUGUUAUCUCCUCUAAGAUGACGACGCUUCCCAACAUGGUGGAUGGUUCAGCCAUGUUAAGGCUUCUCCCAGUAGCAUUCAGCCUCGCCAAAGGGAGGCAAGUGCAUGCACCUCGGAGUUCAAACGAGGUGGCCCAAAGAUGGAACUGUCCUCUCUUUCGAGGUGACGACGCUUCCCAACAUGGUGGAUGGUUCAGCCAUGCUGAGGCUUCUCCUAGCGCUGUUCAACCUCGUUAAAGGGAGGCAAAUGCAUGCGCCUCGGAGUUCAAACGAGGUAGCCCAAAGAUGGGACGCUGUCCUCUCCUCUGAGGUGACGACGCUUCCCAACAUGGUAGAUGGUUCAGUCAUGCUGAGGCUUCUCCCAGUGGCGUUCAGCCUCGCCAAAGGGAGGCAAGUGCAUGCGCUUCGGAGUUCAAACAAGGUGGUCCAAAGAUAGGAUGUUGUCCUCUCUUCCGAGGUGACGACGCUUCCGAACAUAAUGGAUGGUUCGGCCAUGCUGAGGCUUCUCCCAGCGGCGUUUAGCCUCGCCAAACGGAGGCAAGUGCAUGCACCUCGGAGUUCAACGAGGUGGCCCAAAUAUGGGACGCUGUCCUCUCCUCCGAGGUGACGACGUAAUACGACACGUGAAUUCAAUCAUGGAUAAUUUUAUUGAAUCAUUUAAAUGUUACAUAAGCUGGGAAAGAUCUUCCGGUGAGGUAGUACAUUCAUUGAUAAUAGAUUCGGAGGUGCUCAAUGUUCCAUGGACGAGGUUGUGCCUUGCCGUUCAUGUCUUCAAUCCAGUAGGUUCCGGGUCAGAUUUCCUCCCUAAUUUUAUAUGGACCUUCCUAGUUUGGGCCUAGGGAACCGGUGUCAGGUUCCUUCGAGGAGAUGAAGACCCUCCUAAGGACCAAGUCGUUGAUUCGAAAUGACCUCUUCUUUACCUUUGAGUUGAAGUACUUCGUCAUCUUUCUUUGAUAUACGCCGAGCUUCAGCUGGGCGUUAUCUCUCCUUUCCUCAAUGAAGUUGAGGUCGUACCUGCAAAGCUCGUCAUUUGUUAUCUCCCUGAAAUGCAGACGUCAUGGAGAUGGAAGUCCGACCUUGACGAGGCUCAUCGCCUCAGUUUCAUAUGUCAUGAGGAAAGGUGUUUCCCCUGUUGGGGUCUUCGCAGUGGUUCGAAUUGCCCAAAGAACCUGUGGCAGCUCAUCCACCCAGGCCCCUUUUGACACAUAAAGCUUCCUUUUCAGGAUGUGCUUGAUUGUCUUGUUCACAGCCUCAAACUGGCCAUUUUCUUGUGGGUGGUAAAGCGUGGAGAAGUGCUUCUUGAUGCCAAGUUUUUCACACAAACUUCUGACAUUCUUGUUAUCGAAUUGUCUACCAUUGUCUGAGAUGAUCGAGUAGAGAAUCUCGAACCGGCAUAUGAUAUUCUUCCACAAGAACUUAGAAGUGUUGGCUUCUGUGAUUUUUGCCAAGGGUUCAGCUUCAACCCUCUUCGUGAAGUAAUCAAUGGCCACAAUUGCGAAAUUCGCACCUCCUCUGCCUUUCAGUAGAGGACCUAUGAUGUCCACACUCCACUUCGAGAAAGGCCAAGGGCUGGAGACCGGGGUCAAAUUUUGCGAUGGUUGUCUUUGGAUAGGAGAGAAUCGUUGGCAUUUGUCACAUUUUCAUACAAACUUGAGGGCGUCCCUUUUCAAGAUAGGCCAGUAGUAUCCCUGUCUCAGUGUCUUUUAUGCCAAAGAUAGACCUCCGGAGUGGUUGCCGCACACACCCUCAUGGACUUCUCUUAAGAUGUAGGUAGCCUCUUCUUCUCCGAAGCAUCGUAAGAGUGGAGAGGAGAAGCUCAUCUUAUAAAGUAUAUCAUCAAUGAAGAGGAAAUGAACUGACCUCCUCCUUAGCUUGUAGGCCUCAUGUUUGUCAGUGGGAAGUACCUGGUCCUUGAGGUAUGCCAUGAUGGGUUGCAUCCAAGUAGGAGUCCCAGUGACCCACAUUACAUUGGGGGCCUCGGUUGACGGCAUGAGGAGGUGCUCUAUUGGGACUACUGUGAGCAGUUCGGAAUCCUUGCUACUUGCAAGUUUGGAGAGUGCAUCCGCAUGUGCGUUUUCGAUGCGGGGGAUCUGGACCAACUCAAACUUUUCAAAGGAUGGGAUGAGGUUUAUCACCAUUUUCAAGUAGGAGGCCAUUGUUUUGUCCCUGGCUGAGAAGUUACAGUUGACCUGGCUAACGACCAGCUGGGAGUCGCUACUGAUGAGUAGCCUCUUUACUUGCAUUUCUUUGGCUAACCUGAGGCCUGCGAGAAGCGCCUCGUAUUCUGCUACAUUGUUGAUGGCCUUGAACCCGAACCUCACUAUCAAGUUCAGCUUGUGACCUUCCGGGCUGAUAAGGACAACUCCGGCAUCUGAGCCGACAUCCCCAGCUGACCCAUCAACGAAUAGGUUCUACGUUGGUGGCUCGGCUUGUUCCAUGAUUUCAUCCACCUCGGGUAAGUUGGCGAAUUCUGCCACAAAGUCAGCUAAGGCUUGGCCCUUGAUGGCUGUCCUAGCCUUGAACACGAGGUCUAACUCACUUAGCUCCAUUGCCCAUUUCAAUAAUCUCCCUGAGGCAUCGGGCUUUUGGAGUACCUGCCUUAGAGGAAAAUUUGUCGGCAUGUGGAUGGUGUGGGCUUGGAAGUAGGGUCUCAACUUCUUGUCGUGAUUAAGGCCAAAGCGAGCUUCUCCAUAUCGGGGUAGCGGGUUUUCGGAGAUAGGAGUGCUUUAUUUGUUUAGUAAAUGGGGAGUUGGGUGGUUCCAUUUUCUCGGGUUAGAACCGUACUGAUGGCCUCAUUGGAGACGGCUAGAUACAGUUGUAGGAUUUCACCAGGUUUCAGUUUGGAGAGGAGGGGGGCCUGCCCUAGGUGCCUUUUCAGGCCCUGGGAGGCCUCGUCACAUUCCUCAUUUCACUGGAACUUCUUCCCAGCUUUUAGCACUUUGAAAAAUGGGAGGUAAUUGUCCGUGGUUUUGGAGACGAAGCGGCUAAGUACGGCUACUCACCCAGUCAAGUUUUACACCUCCUUUGGCUUUUGGGGGACCUCAUCCUGCAUAGGGCCUCAAUCUUCUCAGGGUUGGCUUCCAUCCCGCGUUAGUUGACCAUGAAUCCCAAGAAUUUGCCAGAAGCCACUCCGAAGGCACACUUGAGGAGGCUGAGCCUCAUCCUAUAUCUUCUCAAGAUUUGGAAAGUACUGUUGAGGUGUGUUAUGUGGUCCCCAGCUUCCAAACUCUUUACUAGCAUGUCGUCUACGUAUACCUUCAUUGUCUUGUCGAUGAGGUCCACAAAUAUUUUGUUGACGAGCAUUUGAUAUGUUGCUCCGGUAUUUUUCAACCCGAAGGGCAUCAUCUUGUAGUAGUAAAGGCCUUGGUCUGUGAUGAAAGAUGUGUGUUCCUCAUCAGCCGGUUGCAUGGGAAUCUGAUUAUAGCCAGAGUAUGCAUUCAUGAAGCUUAAUAACUCGUGCCCAGCCAUGGAGUCUACCAGUUGGUCAAUUCUUGCAAGUGGAAAGCUGUCCUUCGGGCAAGCUCUGUUGAGGUUAGUGAAAUCGAUGCAUACCCUCCACUUGCCGUUGUGUUUCUUCACUAAAACUAGAUUGGAGACCCACUUCGGAUAGGUGGCCUCCCGAUGAAGUCAUUCUGAAUGAGCUUCUGAACUUCUUCCUUCAGGGCCUCGUACCUCUCAGGAUUGAAGGCUCUCCUUUUUUGUCUAUGCGGGGCAACCUUAAGAGCAAUUUUCAAGUGGUGGCAACUGACCUUGGGGUCUAUACCUACCAUAUCCGUAUGCUUCCUAGCAAAGAUAUCAAGGUUCCUACUUAGGAAAUCCUUGAGCUUUUCUUUCGCAGUGCUGGAAAAGCCCUUGCCCACCUUCAAUAAUUUGGAUGGGUCUUGGGGGUCCACCGAGAAGCUCUCAAGUUCCUCAACUGGGGAUGCUUGAGGUUCGUGUUCAGCUAUGUGGGGAUCAACCUCAUCGAUGACCAAUACUUCCAAAUUGGGUGGUGCGUCAAUCAUUUCGACAUCUUCCGGUUUGGCGGGAGUAUCACCUGGGGCAUCAGCCAUGACUACGUCGACAAUAAUUACGUGGACGUCCCGAGGCUCUACCUUUCUAAUGGAGCUUAAAUAACAUUCUCUUGAGCCUCUUUGGUUGCCUCUCACCAUUGUCAUCCCAUUUUUAGUCGGGAACUUCAUGCAUAGGUGGUGGAUGGAAUGGACGACUCCUCAUUCUUUUAGGGCUGGCCUACCCAAUACUCCGUGGUAGGCCGAUCGACUGUCGACAAUAAGGAAUUUCAUGAAUUUCAUUGUGGUUUGGGGAGACUCCCCCAUCUCUACCGCAAGUGUGAUUUUUCCUCUCAGAGUAAUGCUAUCUCCUAUAAAUCCGUACAAAGGAGUGGUGGUGGAUGUUAACUCAUAGUCCAGUAUUAGCUUGUCAAAGGUAGAUCCGAAUAGAAUGUUGACGGAGCUACCAUUGUCAACUAACAUUCGUUUGAGCCCAUUCAGGGCUAUGACUGUUCUUACCACAAGUGCAUCGCAGUGGGGGUAGUGUACUCCUUCAGUGUCCUCCUGGGUGAAGACAAUAGGUGGACUUGAUCUCUCUGGAAACCAUGGCCCACAAUAUAGCUGGUAAGCCGGGGGCGCUUGGCCUCACAGGAAUAAUUCCUUUUGGCGUUCCGCGUUUCACCGCCUACAUAAGGGCCUCCAAAAAUGGUAUCCACCUCGUAGAUAGAAAGCCUCAUCCUGAGUUUUUCGGUCUCUUCGAUGUCUGCGCUCUUCCUUGAGCCUUUCUGCAUCAUGUUUCCUUCGUCGCGGAGAGACGUCCUUUUGACAUGGAGCGGCCUCUUCACGCCCAAGUCGGUUAUCGUACCUUGGUGGGGGCCUGUUCGCCUGGGGCGAAUCAUUUCUGUCCCUAGGGGUUCUUGUCGGGAGUGGUGAGCAUAGUCUCGACAAUCUGCUGUGUCGUGUCCCUAGGACCCGUGGUAUACAUAAUAUCCAGGUGGGUUUUGAUUUGACCUAUUUCUAGGUCCUGAAUCCCGACCUCGGCCUCUCUCCCUACGGGAUCCUUGCGGAGUUCCCAUCUGUCGGGUGUUAGUGACUGGGUUGAUAUCCUCAUACGCUAAUGUAGGGACAGCGUUAAGAGUGGUGGUGGCCAGUGCUUGCCCAAAACUCUCAUUACCAGCUUGGUUCAUUUGGUAGUCCAUCAAGUGGGAGGCCGGCCCUCUAGCACGUUGCCUUUGAGGAGGUGGGAGGCCUCUAUUUGCCCUGUUCCUAUGCUCAAUCAAUUCUUCAUUGAUGAUUUCCUGUCUCAUCAUCUCGAGUAGAGCAUCAUAGGUGGUGGGGUCUUAAUUUUGCACGUCCCUCUAGAAUAGGGUGUUUAUGUUCAGACCUCCUCUCAAUGCAGAUAACGCCUCACGGUCGAUGACUUGCGCAUAAUAUGUCAUCUCAUUGGUGAAACGUGAUAGCUCUUUAAGGACUCCCCAUGUACCUGUCUCAUAUCUUGGAAACGUUGGAUGGGGGUCUUUCCCUCUUUGCUCACAGCAAACCUCUUCAGGAAGGUCGUCUUGAAUUCAAACCAACUUCUUAUACUCCCAAGUGGUAAUCUGCUUUACCAAAUUUCAGCUGCUCCGCUAAGGGUUAAGUGGAAAGCUCUGCAUUUCACAGCUGGGAUGGUGCCCCUUAGGCUCAUGUGAGUUUUGUAAGCAUUCAGGUGCUUCUCUGGGUCGCCUCUUUCAUCAUACUUUGGUAUCUUUGGCAUAACAUAGUGGUUCGGGACCUGGGCGCUCCUUAGUUCCCUUGAGAAUGACAAGUUUUCAUCAUCAUCGUCCAAGUCACAGGACCUCUGCUGCUAAUUAGAAUCAUUUUCUUCAGCCUCAUACCUCGGUUGUUGGUGAGAGGUUCUGGGACGAUUCCUAGCCUUUUCCUCCCUCCUUUGGCGCCUAUUUCUAGGUGGAGCAACACGAGGGGCAUUUUCACGCCUUUCCUCCGGCUGUUGAGGCAUUGGAGGUGGAGGUGUGGCGGUGGCCUUGUCCAAGGCUCGUGAUACUGUUGUUGUCUGAGCUCGGUUCAGCGCGGCUAAUUCUGUCAAAUACACUGUCUGACCUCCUAUGUCUUUGCUCUUGCUCAUAUGGAGGUGGAAAGUUAUCAUAGUUCAAAGGGACCUCGUGGGUUGGCCAGAAGCGUAAUUGGAGGAAACAUCAACUUCUUCUUCCCUUUCAAAUGGGUUUCUACCUCAGCUAUGGUCCGACGAGGUAACCCUAUGGCUUUGAACUUCAUCUUCUUGCUGGUAGUGCCCUUGAGGGGCGUAUGGAGGAAUAGGGAAGCCUUCCUGGCCCUGCAUUUAGGCCAUAAGUUCCCUCAUAGCCACGUUUUGGCUAGCAACAUCCCUCAUAUUAGCAGCCAUGGUGGCCAUUUAUCUUGACAGCCAGGUCGUCACACGCAUUCCACCUCUUCUGUGGUUGUGGUGGGGUCUAUGUCGAGCUGCUGAGGUAGCUGCUUGAGGGGGCACAUUAGCAUUUUCUCUUACCCUCCUGGGGGCGUAUCUUCGUUUGAACUCAUUUUCCUUGUGUCUCACCCUUCAGAUUUUUGCUAAGUCGUGGGGCUUCCUCUUGUUAUUUUUCAAAAACAAAUCCUUUUUCAAGGGGGAUACCCAAAUGUUCCUCUUUAACAAGCUUUUACCACAAGGUUGUUCAUGAUUAUGGUAUGGCUUCCCACAGACGGCGUCAAUCUGUUGACCCCAAUUAAUGUUACCAACAGAUACUGGAUCCACUCGCGCUCACGUAAGCGAAAGUCUAACAUGCAAAGACACGUGGACGGUCUAAAAAGGAUAGAUCAAAGGCAUGGGAGUAGCUUAACGACGCGGGACGAGAACGUUCGAAAUCCGAUGAGAUGAUCGUAGAUCGAUUGUAUAAUAAUUACCAAUCGAUGUUUGCUAAUGUGUAUCUAAAUAUGUAUGAACUCGUUUAUGUUGUAAGAUAAUAAGAAAGAGAGAGUUGAGUAAAUUAUGGUUUCUUGUAUUGAGUCUUGCAUUCACCUCUGUAUGGGGUACAUGGGGGAGUAUUUAUAGUGUUAUUAGUUAGAUCGUGACCUUUGGUUUGGGGUACACGUGGCCUCAUCCGAUUGAGUUACAUGUCAAAUUGUAGGCAUUAGUCGCACCUAGCCUUUAUACAUUUAUUGAUUGGCAGAGCCGUCUCUACUAGUGACAAGACUUAACAUUUACACUCAUGACAAACAUCCUAUCAAUCAUUCAAGUAAGAUCUUUAUGUAGAAGAUCUCUUGGGAGAGGUAUCUAUGGAAGACGUUGCUUUGUGCUUCGGAUGUUGUCAUCUCGGCUAAGGAGUUUCGACAAACAGGGCCUUGUCCACCUUCAAAAGGGCCUUGACAUAUGGGCUUCGAAAGCUCCUCAUGAGGCAUGGAUAAAUGGGCCUCGGUUUGUGGGCGUCGACUAUACAAAUCACCUCCAAUUGAGUGCCACGUGGUUCGGCAUGAGCUGGCUGUGGGGCCCAGUGGGUUGCCCAAGUGUGCGAACACGUAACAAGUUGUUCUUAAUUAUAGUAUUUGAGUCAUAUCCAUUGAUGGUCUAUGGAUGAAUAACAUUUAGAGCUUUUUGAACACCUGGAUCAAUUAGUGGGUGAAAAUCCUUUAUGUUCAAUCUUUAUUUUUUACAAAUUGGUUCGUGUUUAUAGGGUUUAAAUGAGUAUUUGGGAUUACUAAGCUCUCGUUUGGUAACAAUUUUUCAUCCAA